UACAGAGGGUGCUAGCGUUGUUCGGAAUCAUUGGGCGUAAAGGGCUCGUAGGCGGUUUGUCGCGUCGGGAGUGAAAACCUUGGGCUUAACUCAGGGCUUGCUUUCGAUACGGGCAGACUAGAGGUAUGCAGGGGAGAACGGAAUUCCUGGUGUAGCGGUGAAAUGCGCAGAUAUCAGGAGGAACACCGGUGGCGAAGGCGGUUCUCUGGGCAUGAUCUGACGCUGAGGAGCGAAAGUGUGGGGAGCGAACAGG
This 253-nucleotide ribosomal RNA is filed under the name uncultured bacterium. RNAcentral describes it as "partial 16S ribosomal RNA". It matches the Rfam family "Bacterial small subunit ribosomal RNA", at positions 524 to 776 of the family's 1533-position model. The record is from RNAcentral.